CCUGCAUCUACUUUAUUGUCCACUGAGGUUUGAACCCACAAGUUCUGGAUGGGUCAUGAGCCGUGGAGGAGAUGGCUUGAAUGAUGGUAUAUGAGUAAUCUAUUGCUAAUUACCACAAAAUUUAGAGUCUUAAAACAGGAGUGGUUAUUAUUUCGAACUUUCCGUGGGUCAAGAAUUCUGGUGCAGCGUAGCUGAAUGGUUCUGGCUCAGGGCCUCUAAAGAGGCUGUAGUAAAGAUGUUGGCUGGACUCUAAAGGCUUGACUGGGGAGUGGAUCUUCCAAGAUGGCUCACUCACAUGGCUGUUGGCCUGAGGCCUCAGUUCCUUGCCAUAUGGGCCUUUCUAUUAGUCAGCUUGAGUCUUUCCAUGACAUGGCAUUUGGCUUCCCCCAGAAUUUGUGAGGUAAGAGAAAGUGCCAGGAGGAAGCUGCAGUGCCUUUUAUGACCUAAUCUAGGAAGUCAGACACUGUCACUCCCACCACAUUCUAUUUGUUAGAAGUCAGCCACUAAGUCUGGCCCACACUCAAGGGAGGGCAAUCGGCUCUACCUUUCGAGUGGAGGACUAAAAAAGGAUUUGUGGACGUAUUUGAAAACCAUCACAGAUGAAUAGACAUCAUAUCCUUUUUUGCCGUGAUAAAUGUGGAAUAAUCAUCCUUAUAUGAAGAGGCUACUCACUUAUGCUGGAUGGGGCUGACUGCUGAUUUGGAUGCUUGAUGCGUGCUUGCCAAGGAGAAGGGACUUACACUGCUUUCUAAGUAUUUAUCAGUUCAUGGGCUGAGCUCUGCUGCCUGUCGCCUCCUUCUCACUCAUUCCUGAGCCCAAGCUGACAAAGAUACCAAGCAGCUCCAACCCCAGCGUUCUAGAAGGGGCAGGUCCUUAAUGACAGGAAAAAGAAUACAGUCAAGAAAUAAAGAAUGAAGAGAGAAAAUAAAGAAAACUUUAGAAGUGCAUAGUAAGAAAAAAUGAAAAAUAAACGGAAAGAAAUGACUUUCCCGACUCAGAACCGUGACUGGCUCUAGCAAGGAAGAAAAACCAGGACGCAGGAAGCUAAGGGCUUCAAAUUAUAUCCUAACCUUUUGCAUAUUAAAAGACAAAAAGACAUGAAGUGAAUAUGCCAGAAUGUUAACACUGGUUGAAUGUGGGUGGCAGGUACAGAGGUAUUUUUCAUGUUAUUCUCUGUACUUUUCUGAAGGACUGAAAUAUUGCAAAAUGUAAAAUAAUGCCAAGGGGAAAUAAAAAGAAGAAAAAUGUAUCAUCUCACUGUAGGUUCCCCAAUUCCUCCCCUUCUCAGGCCCUGCUAAGAGAUGUGGAGCAUUUUCCUAGAGCUAAUAUAUUGGAGAUCCCUGAAAAACAGGUUUCCUUAAAAAAAAUCAAACAAAAUAAAAUAAAAAUGAAAGCUAAAACCUGCUUGAUUUCUUUCGCAUAUUGUCUGCUUCUUUUCACUUUUGAAAUCCUUAGUCUCCUGUUCAUUUUGCAUUUGUUUCUAUUGGUGCCUGUGAAUUAAGCAGACCAGCCCCAGGAUGCUGAGACACA
This 1530-nucleotide long non-coding RNA is filed under the name Equus caballus (horse). RNAcentral describes it as "lncRNA (ENSECAG00000059398.1)". Lineage: Eukaryota; Metazoa; Chordata; Mammalia; Perissodactyla; Equidae. The record is from RNAcentral.